AGAAAUGUUUCAUGCCUUCUAUACAAGCUGAACAUGUAUACACCAUUACUGAUAUGACAAGCGAGUUUACUUGAGAUUGCCAUCUUCGGCUCUUUGUCGUCUUCUCCCUAUUGUAUUUCUUUGAGAGGGAUCUUCAUUUUUUGCCUUUUUACCAUGGUUGUUAAUGUGGGAAUUGUUCCUUAUUUGCCAAUUGGCCUGAGAGAGUUGUGUAUGCUGUGAAGAGCUGUAAAGUAAUGAAUUGGAAGUCUUUCUUCAUGGUUUCUUCCCUUGGAAUGACUGUGAACAUGCUGGUAAAGAAUGACUCUUGUUUAAUGUACUUUUUAAAGCGUCUGAAAGGUCGAGGCGAGUCCAAACAUCAAAUUGUUCGAACUUUGUUUUGAUUUCAUUUAAGCUGUCCCUUUAAGAUUUUGGAUCAUACAGGUUUGUGCUUGGCUUGAUGAUAUGAGUUGGGCGUAAAGAAAGAAGUGGGGGUUCACAUGUCAACCCCAACUUUGUUUGCUGUUGUUGUAUACAGAUUUGUGUUUCCUUGGUAAGACUAACCUAAUUAUGCGACUUCCCUGAACAUUUGAAUCUUUGACCGGUUAAAAAGUACCUGAGCAUUAAUUAUAGCAUGAUCCGUUGCAAUUGUAUGAUCAAACAUUGGGUGCAUAGUGUGACCGACAGUAACAACUUGUAUCAAUUUACACCAAAUGAAACCUUAAUUCGCGAAAUUGUUCACUAGUGAUUAGAGAUUGCAUAAUAAAACACUUUCCUUUUCAUUCGUGAUGGUUGGCUUUCACUUCUCUUUUCGUUGAUGGCCGGUUGAAACUUUAAAAAGCGAGAAUGUUGAAAGGUUAUAUUAAAAAAUUCCGUUACCGGGAAUCGAACCCGGGUCUCCUGGGUGAAAGCCAGAUAUCCUAACCGCUGGACGAUAACGGAUUUGUUAUGCUGAGGCGUACUUACAAAACUAUAAAUAUGACUUUUCAACAAAAUUAUGGAUUUUAAUUUAAAUUUGUCUCUUCAACAAAAUUAUGGAUUUUAAUUUAAAUUUGUCUCUUCAACAAUAUUAUGGAUUUUAACUUACUGAUAUGACACAGAUAUUUUGUAGGCUUAUUCAUACAGUAAUAAUUAAACAGUGAUAAAUUGUUAAUAACACAUUCCCUCGUAAUUUCUAAUGCGAGAGCUUAAAUAUUUAUUAUCCUAAAUUCUUCCACUUCCAUUAUUUCUUUGCUUUAUGACUUUAAUUGAUUGGAGAAAAUAGGUUGAAUAUAUGAAAUUCAUACAUUACUUGUUUAUCAGUAAACUAUCUUCUUUUCUUUUCUCUUGGAAUAUAGAUAGAUAAAAUAACCUUUUUACAUUAUGUUCAUUCACAAAAUUAUUGUAGUCAUUUUCUUUCAAUAUUUAUUAAUGUGUUUUUCAUAUUUUGAUCUAUAUGAUGAAUCACCAUAGCGCACAACUAAUACAGUAAACUAUAUAAAAAAUACAAGCGUUCAACAAAAUUAAUAAGUGGUUCAGCACAACACAUUCUUGUAAGUUUGUACUGUGAGGUUACAAUAUUUAACAUGAGUCCAAUAUGACAUGAGACAAGCACCAUGAUAUUAUUCACUAUUAAAAUUUUAAAAAAUUAAUGACAUAUUAUAUUUUAAAAAAUAUUCAUAAAGGGCAACCAUUAGUAAGAAAAAAUAUUGAAUGAUGCACUUGAAGAAGAGCACAUACUUUAAAAGAAAAAAAAUUCCAAACUUCUUAAAAAUUUAAGCUAGUAAUUAACAAAGAUUUGACGAGGAUGUCACACACCGUAUUGUAGCGGGAUGGAUGAAAUAGAGGUUAGCAUCCAACGUCUUGUAUAAUAAAAAUGUGCCACCGAAACUUAUAGGUAAAUUUAUAGAGUAGUGGUUAGCCGGCCAUGUUGUAUGGGCAGAGUGUUGGCCAGUAAAGAAUUUCCAUAUCUAGAAGAUGAAAUUAGCAAAAAAAAAA
RNAcentral lists this long non-coding RNA (1953 nucleotides) under Nicotiana tabacum (common tobacco). RNAcentral's name for it is "long non-coding RNA (NTAB_LNC004779)". Lineage: Eukaryota; Viridiplantae; Streptophyta; Magnoliopsida; Solanales; Solanaceae. The record is from RNAcentral.